Molecule: ribosomal RNA, 496 nt
Filed under: uncultured bacterium
Lineage: Bacteria
Description: partial 16S ribosomal RNA
Rfam family: Bacterial small subunit ribosomal RNA
Source: RNAcentral
GAUGAACGCUGGCGGCGUGCCUAAUACAUGCAAGUCGAGCGAACAGACGAGGAGCUUGCUCCUCUGACGUUAGCGGCGGACGGGUGAGUAACACGUGGAUAACCUACCUAUAAGACUGGGAUAACUUCGGGAAACCGGAGCUAAUACCGGAUAAUAUAUUGAACCGCAUGGUUCAAUAGUGAAAGACGGUUUUGCUGUCACUUAUAGAUGGAUCCGCGCCGCAUUAGCUAGUUGGUAAGGUAACGGCUUACCAAGGCAACGAUGCGUAGCCGACCUGAGAGGGUGAUCGGCCACACUGGAACUGAGACACGGUCCAGACUCCUACGGGAGGCAGCAGUAGGGAGUCUUCCGCAAUGGGCGAAAGCCUGACGGAGCAACGCCGCGUGAGUGAUGAAGGUCUUCGGAUCGUAAAACUCUGUUAUUAGGGAAGAACAAAUGUGUAAGUAACUAUGCACGUCUUGACGGUACCUAAUCAGAAAGCCACGGCUAACUACGU